Pecten maximus is the source of this 1411-nucleotide long non-coding RNA. RefSeq lists it as uncharacterized. The transcript is spliced from 3 exons. The record is from RefSeq and is a predicted model, not a curated record. NCBI's taxonomy places the organism in Eukaryota, Metazoa, Mollusca, Bivalvia, Pectinida, Pectinidae.
UGUCUGAGUGGUACUAUAUCAUUACAAAAUAUUUAAAUUUAAAACAUCCUUACAAGUUUUAAGACUACAGACAAUAAGUCCAGGUGUGUGGAAGUUAAAGAUGUUCUAGCCACACAAAUUGAGGGAAGGAGGUAGGUGCAAUUUAACUCAUGAUUAUUUGGGUAUCGUGAAGGUGGUUAUUUUUCACAUUUGGUCAGCCAGGUGGACGACUAGUCAAGGAAACCAUGUCUGAUUUAGAUCUAUAAAAGGAGGCACAUUUGAACCAUUCUAUAUUCUAAGUCAAAUCAACAUGGCUGAGGAUCUGCUAUCAACAGGAAUUUAUUUCCAGGAUAUAGUGAGCGGGCAUUGACAUCACCGGCAACAACAACACGAAAUGCGAUACAAGAUACUGACAAGACAGAUGCUGCGAACCCUGACACUGUUCUCUUUAAACAUACCGGAGAAGAAGAGACUGUGUUCAGUUAAAAAGUCAAUGUUAAACAACCAUGAAAUUAUCGAUUAUUCAAUACGAAGAUUAUUCAAAGAUAGGAUUUUGUUUUUCUCCUCUUUUUCACGUGACAAACACGAUAUGAACUACACUAGACGUUUAUUAGUGGAAGGUAAUGCCAUGCAUCAUCUAUUGGGAUUCAUGUAACCAGUGUAACUCAAACGUUCCCAUGGACACAUUCUGUGAGCUACAGUAUCUUCUGACGAUGGUCAUAUCUACUGUAACGGAAGAUUCCGUCAUUGUCGGUGUAAACGACAAACUUGCUUUGCCCCCAAUACUGUCAACAACCUCAUGCUGUAACGAGAAGAUAUAAGAUUAGAGUUUACUAUAUAAAAAAAUGGGUCCCGGCGUUUUAUCGUUCAUUUUUUCCCUUGAAAGAAUAUUGUAAUUUGUAUUUUUCCUGGAUUGCCUUAGUUGCGAGCUUUACGUCAAUACCACUUGUAAAUUAACUCGCGGUAUAAGUUAUAAAAUAAAAAAUACAUUUUAGUUGGAUUUAAUAUCUACCCAUGAUCAUGUGACAUUCGAUAAUGCUUCUUUGAGCAGCCUUUUGCAUGUAUAAUAUAACCCUACAAGCGAAAAUAUCAUUUGCAUGUGUGUAAUUGGUGUUAAUUCAUACGUAAUGGCUAUUUUCGUUUCUCUAUUUUUUCCAAUAGAGUGUGAAUGGAAUAUGGUAGAACCAACUUAAACAUAACGAUGAAAAUAUCAAAUGUUUGAAAUAUCUUAUAGAAAUCGAAUAAAAAAUUCUUUUACUGUGGUACUAUAUUUUGACAACCUUUCCCAUGAAAUUAGAAUCGGCUGUUUCCAUCACAUGUUCGGCUAUUACGUCUCUUCGUAUAACGCCGAAAAAAUAAUGCCGAUUAUAAUUGUUUGAUAACCCUAAAUAAAAACACAGAGAUUAAAAUGCAAAAAACAUAUGAGGAAUCA